AUUGAACGCUGGCGGCAGGCUUAACACAUGCAAGUCGAGCGGGGGAAGGUAGCCUGCUACCGGACCUAGCGGCGGACGGGUGAGUAAUGCUUAGGAAUCUGCCUAUUAGUGGGGGACAACAUCUCGAAAGGGAUGCUAAUACCGCAUACGUCCUACGGGAGAAAGCAGGGGAUCUUCGGACCUUGCGCUAAUAGAUGAGCCUAAGUCGGAUCAGCUAGUUGGUGGGGUAAAGGCCUACCAAGGCGACGAUCUGUAGCGGGUCUGAGAGGAUGAGCCGCCACACUGGGACUGAGACACGGCCCAGACUCCGACGGGGGGCAGCAGUGGGGAAUAUUGGACAAUGGGGGGAACCCUGAUCCAGCCAUGCCGCGUGUGUGAAGAAGGCCUUAUGGUUGUAAAGCACUUUAAGCGAGGAGGAGGCUACUUUAGUUAAUACCUAGAGAUAGUGGACGUUACUCGCAGAAUAAGCACCGGCUAACUCUGUGCCAGCAGCCGCCGUAA
This 501-nucleotide ribosomal RNA is filed under the name uncultured bacterium. Its description in RNAcentral is "partial 16S ribosomal RNA". It matches the Rfam family "Bacterial small subunit ribosomal RNA", at positions 30 to 523 of the family's 1533-position model. The record is from RNAcentral.